Molecule: long non-coding RNA, 2488 nt
Filed under: Homo sapiens (human)
Lineage: Eukaryota; Metazoa; Chordata; Mammalia; Primates; Hominidae
Description: HSALNT0389384
Source: RNAcentral
AUUUCUUAAUUCCUCUAGCACUGCUGGGUUAGGGUCUCCCCGACUGAGUUGGUCUCGGCACUAGUCUGUGUCCCUGGCUUGCCCUUCCCUCCAACUCUGUCCUGCAGGAUCUCUCUCUCUCAUUAAUAAUAACUAGCUUUUCCAUAUGAGCCAUCCAACUCUGUCGGCUGGGAACUUCUACCCUCAUUGCCUUCUUUGGGUUUUCAGACAGUUAUAGGAGUCAGAGCAGAUAUUCAAAUUCUCAUUUUACAGGUGAGCAAGUUGAGGUUCUGGGAGGACAUAAUAGUUAGUAGGUGGCAGGGCUGGGACUUGAAAGCAGAACUUCUGCCUCCAUAUCUGUGCACACAGCACCACCUCUGCAGUCCCUGUACCAUGAUUUUCUUUGUGCCUUGCUCUCUGUUGUUUUCCAGAACAGUCCUUAGAGGUAAAGUGGACACUUCAUCUGCCUUACCAGUGCCCAUGCACGUCCUCAUCUUCCUUACCAAGAGAACCCAGAACUGGUUCAGAGAUCCAGGCCUCCCACCUCAGGUGACUCCACCCUCAGACUGAUCUGAGGAUAAUCCCAUUCCCCCUAACAAUGGGAAGGGCCAUGUGAACCAAUUCUGGCCAAUGAGAGAGGGAAAAGAGUCUGUUAGGAAACUUAGGGAAAACCUCUCCUCUCUUCUAAGAGACUCAUAAGAAGAGAGCUUCUCUUCCUCCUCUGGACGCUGUCCUGUGUGUAGCACUCAGGACUGCUGAAGACAUCUAGGUAACAGCUUGAAGGUGAAACCAGCACUGAGGUUUCCUGAUUCCUGGGUGGAGCGCAGACUGGAGCCUAAGCCCUGACAGCAUGGGACUUGCAGCUCAAGUAUAUCUGUGCUUCACUGGAAGAGUUGAAAGAGCUGGAGACUGUCUGUGAUCAAUGAGCCCCUGUCACUCUCAUGACACUUUCCUGAACCAUUUCACCAGCACUCAGAAGAUGAAGACUGUGCUCUACCUGUUCCUUCUCUGAAGCUAGAAGAUCUGGUGUUUCGACUUUGCCCCAGCCAACUGACCACAUUGAGUGAUGUGCUUAGUUUACACUGAAUACCAAGAGAUGGGUGGGAUUGCUGUGCAUAUAUAUUAGCAGGAUUUUGGCUGGAGGCCACUUGUGACCUCUAUUGAAUGUAACUUCCUCACUCAGGAGUUGAUAUGGAACCACUCACUCCUAUUGGCUCAGUGCCCAGAAGGCCUCAGAGAGAGCCCACAAGAUCAACCCGACAGACCCCGGCUUUCCAAAUAAAGAAACGCACCCCCCCCACCCCAGGGUAGGGGUCUUUGUGGGUCCUGCCUACACCCUCCUAGGAUUGCUUUCAGGGGCUCAGAAAAUUAGCAGUGAUGUCCAUGGCCACUACCUGAGCAGCGUAUGCUUCCAUGUGAGGCCGGGUUAUGGCAGAGCUGUGAUUUGUCCUUGGAAUCUAGGCCACAUCCCCAACACCCAUAGGCUUCCCCAAGCAUGGCAAGGAAAGGGGGACUCAGGGAACCCACUGCCCUUACCACACCCCAACCCUUGGUCAUAAAUAGGGGAGUUCUGAAACUGAAGGUGGUGAGCUCCCGCCUCCAGACUGAAGUGAUGAUAGAACUCAGUGCCUCUUUAUCUUCAGAUCAAAUCUUAUGACACCAGGCCCAGCCGCUUACCUGAAUCAAGGCUGAGUCAGUGUGAGUAAAUAGGACCAAUGGUCACUCCCAAGUAGAACACUAAGCCACCCUUAGGAGAUCUGCACGAAGUGAUGGGCGCUGUCCAUUGUACCUGCUUUGUGCCUUCCCCUGCUCCAUAGCCUGGCCUGGCUGGAAGCACACAGCUGUCAUCUCUGGGAACAUUCCAUUCUCUGCCCUCCUCCUGCCUUCAACCAUGCACACUGCCUGUGACCUCAUCUCCUCUGUCCUCAGGGACUGUCACAACCAUCUGCCUAUCAUAUUUUGGAGUUGACUAUGAAAUGAACAAGGAUCCUGAAUCUUAGUUCUUCCAGAAAGAUAGAUUUCCUCUUAUGGUGUGAAACUAUGGUCUUCCCAAAACGCACAGGUGCCAAUCUUCAGAGGGGCCACAAUGUCAUCAUGAAGGUGAAAUAUGGGCUUCAUGGUACACGUUUACCUGGAUAAGCAUGGUUCAUAUAAGGAAUCCAGAAUAAGAUGGACUGAAGAUUCCCUCAGGACUCCUUUCUCAGAUUUCCUGCUCCAACCUGUGUUAAAGGGGGCCACUAGACCAUUUAGAAUACCCUGCUAUUUUCUUUGUCAUUUAACUUUAUUUAUAAGUAUAUAAAAUAUAGAAAAUAAUACAGAGAAAAAUUAAACAAAUACCCACGGCCCAUCUCAGGAAAUGAAACAUUAUAAAUACAACAGAAGGCCUCUGUGUGACUCUCCUAGAUCCAACUCCCCAUCUACCUUCCCUCCUCAGAGAUAACCACCACCUGCAACGAAUAUUCCCAAGCUAGAUAUUAUGCUUCCAGCACAUGUGGGAAAGCAAACAUCA